AAAACAUUCGGACCGUCGGUCUACCGAGCAAUAUCACCCGCUCGGUGGAAGAUUCCUUUCGUCGU
Molecule: microRNA precursor, 65 nt
Filed under: Bombyx mori (domestic silkworm)
Lineage: Eukaryota; Metazoa; Arthropoda; Insecta; Lepidoptera; Bombycidae
Description: mir-2774 microRNA precursor family
Rfam family: mir-2774 microRNA precursor family
Source: Rfam by way of RNAcentral